GGGUGUUUAGCUCAGUUGGCUAGAGCAUUUCCUUUACACGGAAAGGGCCGGGGGUCCGAGUCCCUCAACACCCACCA
RNAcentral lists this transfer RNA (77 nucleotides) under Rickettsiales bacterium. RNAcentral's name for it is "tRNA-Val". It matches the Rfam family "tRNA". From Rfam's summary of the family: Transfer RNA (tRNA) molecules are approximately 80 nucleotides in length. Their secondary structure includes four short double-helical elements and three loops (D, anti-codon, and T loops). Lineage: Bacteria; Pseudomonadati; Pseudomonadota; Alphaproteobacteria; Rickettsiales. The record is from RNAcentral.